CCUACGGGUGGCUGCAGUGGGGAAUAUUGGACAAUGGGGGGAACCCUGAUCCAGCCAUGCCGCGUGUGUGAAGAAGGCCCUCGGGUUGUAAAGCACUUUCAGUGAGGAAGAACGCCUGGUGGUUAAUACCCAUCAGGAAAGACAUCACUCACAGAAGAAGCACCGGCUAACUCCGUGCCAGCAGCCGCGGUAAUACGGAGGGUGCGAGCGUUAAUCGGAAUUACUGGGCGUAAAGCGCGCGUAGGUGGCUUGAUAAGCCGGUUGUGAAAGCCCCGGGCUCAACCUGGGAACGGCAUCCGGAACUGUCAAGCUAGAGUGCAGGAGAGGAAGGUAGAAUUCCCGGUGCAGCGGUGAAAUGCGUAGAGAUCGGGAGGAAUACCAGUGGCGAAGGCGGCCUUCUGGACUGACACUGACACUGAGGUGCGAAAGCGUGGGUAGCAAACAGGAUUAGAUACCCCUGUAGUC
RNAcentral lists this ribosomal RNA (465 nucleotides) under Vreelandella stevensii. Its description in RNAcentral is "partial 16S ribosomal RNA". It matches the Rfam family "Bacterial small subunit ribosomal RNA", at positions 338 to 795 of the family's 1533-position model. The record is from RNAcentral. Lineage: Bacteria; Pseudomonadati; Pseudomonadota; Gammaproteobacteria; Oceanospirillales; Halomonadaceae.